RNAcentral lists this ribosomal RNA (301 nucleotides) under uncultured bacterium. RNAcentral's name for it is "partial 16S ribosomal RNA". It matches the Rfam family "Bacterial small subunit ribosomal RNA", at positions 509 to 807 of the family's 1533-position model. The record is from RNAcentral.
CAGUCGCCGCGGUAAUACGUAGGGUGCGAGCGUUGUCCGGAAUUAUUGGGCGUAAAGAGCUUGUAGGCGGUUUGUCGCGUCUGCUGUGAAAUCCCGAGGCUCAACCUCGGGCGUGCAGUGGGUACGGGCAGACUAGAGUGCGGUAGGGGAGAAUGGAACUCCUGGUGUAGCGGUGGAAUGCGCAGAUAUCAGGAAGAACACCGAUGGCGAAGGCAGUUCUCUGGGCCGUAACUGACGCUGAGAAGCGAAAGCGUGGGGAGCGAACAGGAUUAGAUACCCCUGUAGUCCCUGUCUCUUAUAC